UACAGAGGUCUCAAGCGUUGUUCGGAAUCACUGGGCGUAAAGGGUGCGUAGAUGGUUGAUAUAAGUCUUUUGUAAAAAUGCUAGGCUCAACCUAGUAGGGCAAAAGAUACUGAUGAACUAGAGUACGGCAGAGGCAAGUGGAACUACAUGUGUAGCGGUAAAAUGCGUAAAUAUAUGUAAGAACACCGGUGGCGAAGGCGGCUUGCUGGGCCUGUACUGACAUUGAGGCACGAAAGCGUGGGGAGCAAACAGG
Molecule: ribosomal RNA, 253 nt
Filed under: uncultured Anaeroplasma sp.
Lineage: Bacteria; Bacillati; Mycoplasmatota; Mollicutes; Anaeroplasmatales; Anaeroplasmataceae
Description: partial 16S ribosomal RNA
Rfam family: Bacterial small subunit ribosomal RNA
Source: RNAcentral